GCCAGGCACGGUGGCACAUGCCUGUAGUCCCAGCUAUUCGGGAGUCUGAGGCUGGAGGCUCUCUUGAGUCCAGGAGUUCUGGACUGUAGUGCGCUAUUCUGAUCGGGUGUCCGCACUAAGUUUGGCAUCAAUAAGGUGACCUCCCAGGAGCACGGGACCACCAGGUUACCUAAGGAGGGGUGAACUGGCCCAGGUCGGAAAAAUAUGAAUCAUGGCUUGGUAUGGUGGCUCACGCCUGUAAUUCCAACACUUCGGGGGGCUGAAGAAAGAACAUUGCUUGAGCCCAGGAGUUCAAAACCAGCCUAGACAAUAUAGGAGGCCCCAUUUCU
Molecule: signal recognition particle RNA, 329 nt
Filed under: Saimiri boliviensis boliviensis (Bolivian squirrel monkey)
Lineage: Eukaryota; Metazoa; Chordata; Mammalia; Primates; Cebidae
Description: Metazoan signal recognition particle RNA (ENSSBOG00000004880.1)
Rfam family: Metazoan signal recognition particle RNA
About the family: The signal recognition particle (SRP) is a universally conserved ribonucleoprotein. It is involved in the co-translational targeting of proteins to membranes.
Source: RNAcentral